Salmo salar (Atlantic salmon) is the source of this 1325-nucleotide non-coding RNA. Lineage: Eukaryota; Metazoa; Chordata; Actinopteri; Salmoniformes; Salmonidae. The record is from RefSeq and is a predicted model, not a curated record.
GGGUCGUCACAGUGUGUAUUCGUCUUUGUGUUGUAGGACUGUGAGGAGGUUGAGGAGAGCUCAGCUGUGUGAGACUGAACUGUCCCCUGUGUAUCCUUGACACCAGCUAACGAUAAGAAGCGCUGUGUUCUGUGUCCCGACAUGCCGUGCUGGAGCAACUGCAUGUGGGGGCGGAGCAGAUGGAGGGGAGGAGUCUGGAGGUCAGCCUAACAGACAUCAAAGCCGAGGCAGAAAGCACCAGUUUUCAGCUGCUUUGGCUGCAGAUGCAGAGGGAAUCCUGUCUGCAGGAGGUCAGGGAUCUGGAGGAGGAGCUGACUGCUCUAUGUAAACACAGAACAUCCUUGACAGAUGGGACCAGGGUAACACAAUUAUUCUAGCCCGCAUGGCACUUUUCCCAGCUCUAUUACAAUCUAAUGAUUUGAUUAUUACAAUAUUUAAUCCCCUAUCUCCCCUCCCUUCCCUUCUCCCCCACAGUCUCAGAGAGUGACCAGUGUCAGUAUGUCUGUCCUUGAGAGAAAGGAGUUGGACAGUGCCAAAACAGAGCUGUUUUCUGAGCAGCAGCACUCUAGACUCAAGCUGGACUCUAUGCAAGAAGUACAGUAUUAGACUGGUGCUCAGAACAUGCUUCAAAGUGAUUGUCACCACUUUGAAUGUGUUUGAAAUUGUUUCUCUCCAUCUGUUUGCUUAUGUGUGUAUGUAGCAGAAGUUGGAUGAAGCUUGUGAGGUGCUCCAGUCUGUGACUGAGGGGAGAGGUCACUGAGGGACAGGUUUGAAGGUCUGAAGGAGAAACACAGGCAGAAACAGGAGCAGGAAGAGGCAGUGGAGGUGCACGUGUGUGAGCUGCAGAAAGAGCUGCGGGUGAAUGAGAGCAGUGUGGGGUCUCUGGAGAGGAUAGCAGCCCAGAAAGAGCUACAGCUGUUGGCUUUCCAGGACGAGAGGAGUGCCUUGAAGUCAGAUGGGCUGCAGGGGGAGUUCCAGAACCUAAGGGAGCAGCACAGCAUCUUUCUGAGAGAGACCCAGGAGCAGGCACUCACACAGAUGGUUGGUGGGCUGGGUAGCCUCUAGUACACUGUGUCUAUGGAUGAGUCCGUUUAACUGUGCGUAUAAAUGUGUGUAACUCACUGUGUGCAUGAUAGUUAGAGCAUAUGUAGUUAAAUGUGUGUGUGCAGUAUGUAAGGGUGUAACGCCCUGGCCAUAGAGAGGGGUUUUUGUUCUUUAUUUUGGUUAGGCCAGGGUGUUACACUGGGUGAGUGUUCUAUGUGCAUUUUCUAUGUUGGUUUGUUUCAUUGAUUUUGGCCGUGUGGCUUCCAACCAGGCACAGUUGU